Sinocyclocheilus grahami is the source of this 179-nucleotide long non-coding RNA. RefSeq lists it as uncharacterized. The transcript has 3 exons. The record is from RefSeq and is a predicted model, not a curated record. Lineage: Eukaryota; Metazoa; Chordata; Actinopteri; Cypriniformes; Cyprinidae.
CUGUGACUUUGACUUGACUUGACAUUUGACUUGAGUUUAUUUUAUAAUUUCCUUUUUUUCUUAAUGGUCAUUCUAUAAACUUAUAAUACACUAAGGGGUAAUACUUCAAUGUGAUAGUCCACAUUAGACAUUUUGCUAACUAUAACAGGGUCUUAAAGGGUUACGCAGGGUCUUAAAAG